AUUAGGCAAUGUGAACGAGCCGGGGAAGGGACGGGAAGGAAGUGGUGGUCAUUCAGCAGAAUUUCAGAAACGCUGAUUUCAAGGCUGCUGCCCACUUUCCAGGUCUAUACAUGGAGAUAAUAGGGAAUUUAACCUGCUCACAGCCCUUCAGGAUUUGGGGCCUGUUUCCUAAGAAAGCGAUAGCAUCUCUGAAUGGGGCCGUGUGGAGAAACCCUAAGAGAAACAGCAUAAGAGCAUUUUGGAAUAUAUCCCGCAAAAGAUAACUUUCUACACAUCUGGCAGAGAUUCUCCAGGUAAAGUGCCUUUGAGGAGGUGUGCUUUUAACACACGAACUGGAAAACAUCCCAUUUCCUCCACCUGUUUACUGGUGAGUGAGAUGAGAGGCAGGGAGGAUGGGAGAAGCGUGGCAGAUGGUGGGUCGCAUAGGGGGUGUGGGAGGUCCAGGGACUCAGUCUUGGAUCUUCUCUUUGAA
Molecule: long non-coding RNA, 472 nt
Filed under: Bos indicus x Bos taurus (hybrid cattle)
Lineage: Eukaryota; Metazoa; Chordata; Mammalia; Artiodactyla; Bovidae
Description: lncRNA (ENSBIXG00005006061.1)
Source: RNAcentral